AAUUUAAAAUGAGUUUGCUACUAGCCUCAUCAAAUGAAAAAGUUGUUAAAAAUCUGGCAUUGUUUCUCCUCCAUGCCUUCCAGUUUAGAAAAUCUACAAUUGAAGGCAAAUAAGCAAUUAUGAAUGUAUUUUCCUUCUUUUCGCAACCAUGUACUGAUGUAUGAAAUAUUGUAUUAUUUUGAUGUUACUCCCCCUUCAAAAAGGGCAAUGGCCCAUUGAAUAAACUACUUAUGACUUAUGACUAUGGUGGGUGGACAAGAAGGAUGUGAAUGUCCUUACCACCCUACACAAGCCUCAGGUGGUCAAUGUGAAGACUCGAACUCAUGAGAAGAAGAAGCCAACACCUAUUGUUGACUACAACAAGUACAUGGGUGGGGUUGACCACAGUGACCAGAUGAUUGCCUACAACCCAUUCCACAAGAAGACAGUGAAAUGGUGGAGAAAGCUGUUUUUCCACUUUCUGACACUCACCUUGGUACAGGCUCACUGUACCAAAAGGUAAGGAAACAAAUUGGUAAGCCAAGUAUGCAGUUGGAUGAAUUUAUUACUUCUGUAGGUGACGAUCUGGUGACCAUACCAAAUCGAAGAAGUAACGAGGAACAGCCAGCACGAUCAGGAGCUGCAGUUCCUCAGACACCGGAUCACCUUCGCUUACAGGUGAAUUAUGAUGGUCAUAUUACUGCUCCCAUUAAAACUAGAAAAAAUUGUGUUGUUUGCUAUAGAAAGCUAGUUAAGGCAGGUACAGAUGCCAAGUUCCGGAGGGCUAGGUCUAAGCGCACUACCUAUGAGUGCAAAAAAGUGUAUGAAGCCCCUCUGUCUCUAUCCCUGCAUGCAGAUCUACCAUACAGUGAAGGAUUUCUAACCUCUGAAACUCAGAGUAAAUAAGUGUACAUGCUUUUAACAUUUUUUCCCAAGUGUUGCAGGUGCAUCUUCUGGAUGGAGGAGAUAAUACAGAGGUGGCCCUCCCCCAUGACACUGCUUAUGGCUCUUCAGUGUGCAGCUGCACAAUGCAUCUGGCAGCCUAUGUGAUGUUAGGGGGGAUGUCUAAAUGUACUUACACUUCAGGGAAAUGCAGCUGUAGUACUUUAUUUUUAGUCAGGUUACUUCGGGUGGUACUGGGUAAACAAUCUGACCAAGUGUUUAUGUAUUUACAUCACAUCUAGAAAGUAAUAGAUUUUCAUAUAAAUAAUAAAAAAAUGUUAAAUAAUUUGUUUUGAUAUUCCUGAUCUUUGCACAGUAUUUGUUUUGUUAAUUUUUGUGAUUACAAGACUUUGCAGGGCCUAAUCGUUACAACAUCUACAUCACGACUGUAACAACAAUUUUACAGCCAUGAAUUUCCAGAAUUCUGGCACCAUUUUAAUGCAUCAUUUUUGAAUUUCUAUGGACAAGAACAAUGUGUGUGCAUUUCUUCUUGGUUUUGAAACAUCAAACUGUGGUUCCUAAAAGCCUAACUUCUUGUUAGAUGACAUAACCUGUGUAAACAUGUGCCCGAAAAAACUUUUUAAAAACUUCACUUCAUAUACCCAAUUCUGUAUGGAUUACAAUAAAGUGAGUUCUCAUGCAAGUUUCAGGUAAGAUUGUUCCUUUUUUACACAUUUUGAUCUAUCAUUAACAGUUUGAAUUAUUCUUCUACUUCUUUUAGUUAUUUUCUUAAAAUUUUUUGAAAAACGUUAAAAAUCAUGCGUACCAGUGUGUCAAACUGCCUCUAGCUUUUCCGUCUUCAAUGAGUUAAUUAUGGCAGAACCGGUUAGAGAGGUAGCUUCCUAUGUAAGGGAGGGGGAACUGUUCGGUCUGAAGGAAGAAGCCCUUAAGAACUAUGUGCUGCGGUGUAUUGAGAGGCAGGAGAGGUACGAAGAAGGCUUAGCCAGAGAUAAAGAAGCAGAUAGGUAGUCAAAAAAGGGGACACUAGUGACCCCAUCUACCUCCAACACGUUCAUGAACUCAUUUCUGACUAUCCUAAAUUGUGCUCAGUUUUUACAGAUGGCUCCAAAAUUCCAAGUGGUGGCCCAGUCGCUGCGGCAGUAGUUCUGUCCUGCCAACCACAACGGGUUGUUUCAGUCUGACUGGCAGACGAAUGUUCUAUUUUCACAGCGGAACUCCAUGCCAUCUUGCUUACCUUGCAGCAUGCUCACCAAUCUUCGGAGCACAACGUUUUGAUAAUUUCAGACUCUUUCUGCACUUCAAGCCCUCAUUUCAAAUGAUUCUGACCACCCCCCUGUGCUUCAGAUUCAUAAAAUUCAUGCAGCACUUACUCAACGAAAUAAGGACAUUGUUUUUAUUUGGGCUCCUGGCCAUUCUGGUAUUCCAGGCAAUGUUCGAGCAGACCAGGCUGCCAAGGCUGCAUGUCAGUCCCCUGGUAAAAUACAGUCACUUAUCUCAUCCAACUGCAAAACUUUAUUUUCAACCUACAUUCUGACCUUAUGGCAAGACCACUGGAACACCUUAAGUCAAAAUAAAUUAUUCGCCACUCUUCCCUGUCUUUCCGACCGCCCACCUUUGUGCCACACUACAAGGCGGGAGGAGGUAGUUCUUACAAGACAUAAGGCCUAUUCUCACGCUGCAAUGUACCGCACUUGGCAGGGUUAGUAGGCCAUGGUAGGAUCUUUCCGAGUUUUGCACACGGCUGGGUGGGGGCUUACCAUCAAGGUUUUCACGGAUAGGACGCGAUUCUAUUUUCUUGCAGAGCAUGACCUACAUUACAUGGCUGUAGCCAAUCGGAAUGCUUGAACACAGUAGGCUCCCUUUUACCUCCAAAUUAGAAAAUGGCAAUGUGGACGGAGCAGAGGUGCAUGGAUUUGAUUGUAAUGUGGGAGAACUACCCGUGUCUGUUCGACACUUCCAGUGCGGACUAUGUAAACCGGGAUAAGGCCAAAAAUGCCUUCAUUGAAAUUGCUCGUGCUCUGGGCAAUGGAAUAACAGCAGUUAUCUGCAUACAAUGCACGCUGUAGAAGUGGUGCUUUUGCACAACAUGUGGCAGAGCCAACAUGGCGCUUCUGGAAGGCGUUGUGUUUCCUCAGACCCUUCAUAAAAUUGAAAGAUAGGACACACCUAUGCCACGCAAGGAUACCUCUUGCGAGGUGAACUACCACUAGGUUGCCCCUGGUGUAAGGGAAAUUUUAAUGUAUUACACCUUCUGAUUAUCUGUCUAGAGCUCCAGACCAUCCAACGACAGUUUUUUUACAGCAAAUUCUCUAUCUGUCUUAAGGCCUAUUCCCACGCUGCAAUGCUCUUGUACAAAAAACUCGCGCAGAGGCAGCUUAGCGCAAUGCGUCCUAUUCCCACGUAGCAAGGGCACACAAGUGUCUUGCGAACUGACGUCAUCCGCACAGUGCAUUGUGGGAAGUUAACAAUAUGGCAGGCAACAUCGACGACGAGAUACUUUUAGAAGCAACUGUGACUACGAUAGUUAUAUUACAUGAAGCGGAGAGAGAGAGAAGAAGAAAGGAAAAAAGAUGUGGGUGAUGGAGUGGGUAGCUCGAAGGAACCGAUUAGGAGCAUAUUCGUGUCUGCUAAAGGAAGAUUCACGGGAGUGCAGACGCUUCUUGCGAAUGUCGUCUUCCACGUUCAAUGAACUAAUUUAUUUAAUUGAACCUGCAAUUUGCAGACAAGACACGGUCAUGAGACAGUGUAUAAAAGCAGAGGAAAGACUGGCAGUGACCCUGCGUUACCUUGGUUCAGGUAUGCAUAUUUUUUAUUUUUUUUUUGCUGCUUGGGUUGGUGACGAGAAUGUUUAGUUAUGCACUACAGAUUGACAAAUUUUCAACACUGGAGGCUUAGAGAGUCCGAGAGAGAACCAAUCUUUUGAUGGAACAAUUUAAGCGCACCCAGAAUAUACAGCAAGCAAAGUCAGUCAUGACUGAACAAAAUAUACGGGAACAAUUAAUCUGAAUCAGUAUGCCAGUGCUUUAUAAAGAAUAAAAACAUACAACCACAAGUACUCAGGACAAGUCCAAAGAGUGUUUCUGUAUUUGUGUGAGUUAAAAAAUAUAAAAUCAUCCACUUUACUGUUUUUCUUUUAAUUUUAGAUCAGGGGAAGAAGAAGAGGAACUUACAGAAAAGGAUCAUCUGCUGUUAGAAAUUAUAGGAAUGAAAGAAAGUAUAGAAAACCCCUUUAGACCAUUGCAUUGGUUUUAUAGAUGGAACUUUCAGGCCAAUAACAAGACCUGGAUUGUUUCAAAAGGAGGUGUAUAAUGGACAUAAAAGACAACAUGCCUUGAAAUUUCAGUCAGUGAUGUUCCCAAAUGGCAUCAUUGGCCACUUGUUUGGGCCUGUAGAGGGGCGAAGACAUGACACUUUUCUCCCGACAGAAAGUGGUUUAAUGACCUUAUUGCAGAAUCACUGUCAUGAUGAUGAUGGUGCACCCUUUUAUCUAUAUGGUGAUCAGGCUUAUCCGCCAAGUCAGCACCUGAUUUCACCAUUUCGAGCCCCCUUGUCGUAUAUCGCUUUGGCCAUCCUCCUCAUAUCUGCCUGCUGCAGCCACCUGUGGUUCAGCUGAUGCAGACGAUGCUGGUGUGUAUCAUACAAAUAGUUCAAUGAACUAAUUUAUUUAAUCGAGCCUGCAAUUUGCAGACAAGACACGGCCAUGAGACAGUGUAUAAAAGCAGAGGAAAGACUGGCAGUGACCCUGCGUUACCUUGGUUCAGGUAUGCAUUUUUUUUUUUUUGCUGCUUGGGUUGGUGACGAGAAUGUUUAGUUAUAUGUACAGAAGGGUAGAAAGUGUGGAAAACUAAAUGCUUAUCUCAGAUAUAUCAGUAGUAAGAACCUUAGAAGGAAGCACACUUGGCAGUAACAGUUCAAAGAAAUGAAAAUUUAAGAGAGGAGAAAGGAUAAGCUUAAAGGGGAAAUGGUGUGGUGGAAAUUA
Molecule: long non-coding RNA, 4861 nt
Filed under: Pomacea canaliculata
Lineage: Eukaryota; Metazoa; Mollusca; Gastropoda; Architaenioglossa; Ampullariidae
Description: uncharacterized LOC112564964
Source: RNAcentral